CAGGAUGCAGGUCGUCCAAGGAAAUUUUGACCACUGGUGGAGAUUUUGCUCAAGCCUAAAUAAAAGUCAAAUUGGGCAAGCAGGUGGACUAUUUUCUAGACCACCACAAGCCAAUAGUACUACAAAGCUUGAGGAGACUCUCCAACAGUUCAUGCAGGGAUCUUUCUCCAUUCAGAAAAGCACUCAGGCAGCAUCUAAAAGCAUGGAGGCGC
This 212-nucleotide long non-coding RNA is filed under the name Vigna radiata. RNAcentral describes it as "long non-coding RNA (VRAD_LNC004889)". Lineage: Eukaryota; Viridiplantae; Streptophyta; Magnoliopsida; Fabales; Fabaceae. The record is from RNAcentral.